AUUGAACGCUGGCGGCAUGCCUUACACAUGCAAGUCGAACGGCAGCACGGGAGCUUGCUCCUGGUGGCGAGUGGCGAACGGGUGAGUAAUACAUCGGAACGUGCCCUGAAGUGGGGGAUAACGUAGCGAAAGUUACGCUAAUACCGCAUAUUCUGUGAGCAGGAAAGCAGGGGAUCGCAAGACCUUGCGCUUUAGGAGCGGCCGAUGUCGGAUUAGCUAGUUGGUGAGGUAAAGGCUCACCAAGGCGACGAUCCGUAGCGGGUCUGAGAGGAUGAUCCGCCACACUGGGACUGAGACACGGCCCAGACUCCUACGGGAGGCAGCAGUGGGGAAUUUUGGACAAUGGGCGCAAGCCUGAUCCAGCCAUUCCGCGUGCAGGAUGAAGGCCUUCGGUUGUAACUAGCUUUGUUACGGUAACGAAACGGACGAGCUCUAAUACAGUUAGUCUAAUGACGGUACCGUAACGAAUAAGACACCGGCGUAACUACGUAGCCACG
This 497-nucleotide ribosomal RNA is filed under the name uncultured bacterium. Its description in RNAcentral is "bacterial SSU rRNA". It matches the Rfam family "Bacterial small subunit ribosomal RNA", at positions 30 to 525 of the family's 1533-position model. The record is from RNAcentral.